GUAACCCUAAUCCACUUUCCUCACUCAUCAAAUUUGUUUCUCUCUCAUCUCCAUACCCUCUCUCACUCACACAGAGCAUCAAAAUUAUUUUGUCAUUAAAGUGGAAAACAAAUGAACGAACAGAAUAAGAACAACAAAUUGCGGUGUCACGGGGUGCUUUUAAUUAACUUAUAACUCUUUACAGAUUUAAAUCUAAGAAAAAGAUGAAAACAACUAAGAUAAAAAAGAAGAAUUCAGAAAAUGAUGAAAGAUUUCAUUCCAAUUUAAUUGAAUCUAGUACAAAAAAGAUAGUACAAAAAGAAUACAUGGAUCUGGAACUAUA
This 322-nucleotide long non-coding RNA is filed under the name Vigna radiata. RNAcentral describes it as "long non-coding RNA (VRAD_LNC003071)". Lineage: Eukaryota; Viridiplantae; Streptophyta; Magnoliopsida; Fabales; Fabaceae. The record is from RNAcentral.